This 143-nucleotide unclassified non-coding RNA is filed under the name fungal sp. RNAcentral describes it as "partial internal transcribed spacer region". The stretch from base 1 to 46 matches the Rfam family "Eukaryotic small subunit ribosomal RNA", at positions 1786 to 1831 of the family's 1831-position model. The record is from RNAcentral. Lineage: Eukaryota; Fungi.
AAGUCGUAACAAGGUUUCCGUAGGUGAACCUGCGGAAGGAUCAUUAAAAAGUUUAAUUACACACACCGUGCAUCAAACAACGAGUCUUUCAGAUAAAAGUAUAAUAUGAAAAACAACUUUUAGCAACGGAUCUCUAGGUUCUC